UACAGGCUUAACACAUGCAAGUCGAGGGGCAGCAUUUUAGUUUGCUUGCAAACUGAAGAUGGCGACCGGCGCACGGGUGAGUAGCACGUAUCCAACCUGCCGAUAACUCCGGAAUAGCCUUUCGAAAGAAAGAUUAAUACCGGAUGGCAUACGAAUAUCGCAUGAUAUUUUUAUUAAAGAAUUUCGGUUAUCGAUGGGGAUGCGUUCCAUUAGUUUGUUGGCGGGGUAACGGCCCACCAAGACUACGAUGGAUAGGGGUUCUGAGAGGAAGGUCCCCCACAUUGGAACUGAGACACGGUCCAAACUCCUACGGGAGGCAGCAGUGAGGAAUAUUGGUCAAUGGGCGCGAGCCUGAACCAGCCAAGUAGCGUGAAGGAUGAAGGCUCUAUGGGUCGUAAACUUCUUUUAUAUGGGAAUAAAGUUUUCCACGUGUGGAAUUUUGUAUGUACCAUAUGAAUAAGGAUCGGCUAACUCCGUGCCAGCAGCCGCGGUAAUACGGAGGAUCCGAGCGUUAUCCGGAUUUAUUGGGUUUAAAGGGAGCGUAGGUGGAUUGUUAAGUCAGUUGUGAAAGUUUGCGGCUCAACCGUAAAAUUGCAGUUGAAACUGGCAGUCUUGAGUACAGUAGAGGUGGGCGGAAUUCGUGGUGUAGCGGUGAAAUGCUUAGAUAUCACGAAGAACUCCGAUUGCGAAGGCAGCUCACUAGACUGUCACUGACACUGAUGCUCGAAAGUGUGGGUAUCAAACAGGAUUAGAUACCCUGGUAGUCCACACAGUAAACGAUGAAUACUCGCUGUUUGCGAUAUACAGUAAGCGGCCAAGCGAAAGCAUUAAGUAUUCCACCUGGGGAGUACGCCGGCAACGGUGAAACUCAAAGGAAUUGACGGGGGCCCGCACAAGCGGAGGAACAUGUGGUUUAAUUCGAUGAUACGCGAGGAACCUUACCCGGGCUUAAAUUGCAACAGAAUAUAUUGGAAACAGUAUAGCCGUAAGGCUGUUGUGAAGGUGCUGCAUGGUUGUCGUCAGCUCGUGCCGUGAGGUGUCGGCUUAAGUGCCAUAACGAGCGCAACCCUUAUCUUUAGUUACUAACAGGUCAUGCUGAGGACUCUAGAGAGACUGCCGUCGUAAGAUGUGAGGAAGGUGGGGAUGACGUCAAAUCAGCACGGCCCUUACGUCCGGGGCUACACACGUGUUACAAUGGGGGGUACAGAAGGCGGCUACCUGGUGACAGGAUGCUAAUCCCAAAAACCUCUCUCAGUUCGGAUCGAAGUCUGCAACCCGACUUCGUGAAGCUGGAUUCGCUAGUAAUCGCGCAUCAGCCAUGGCGCGGUGAAUACGUUCCCGGGCCUUGUACACACCGCCCGUCAAGCCAUGAAAGCCGGGGGUACCUGAAGUACGUAACCGCAAGGAGCGUCCUAGGGUAAAACUGGUAAUUGGGGCUAAGA
RNAcentral lists this ribosomal RNA (1442 nucleotides) under uncultured organism. RNAcentral describes it as "SSU rRNA". It matches the Rfam family "Bacterial small subunit ribosomal RNA". The record is from RNAcentral.